GUCAAAAUAGAAUUAGCAGUCAAAAUUCUUCAACGCCUGAAAACGCGAUUUCUGAUCCGAAUUUUCCGAUCAGUGAUCAGAUCAGCAGACAAUAGCAUUUGAUUAAGGGUUAGAAAAUGCUUCUGGCGGUCUUAUUUUCCAACUCUGACGGCAACAUCCUCGUCGAACGUUUCAAUGGAGUACCAGCAGAGGAGCGUCUGCAUUGGAGGUCUUUCCUAGUUAAGCUGGGUGCGGAGAAUCUUAGAGGGAUUAAGAAUGAAGAACUCCUAGUGGCUUGCCACAAGUCUGUUUACAUUGUAUACACAAUACUUGGAGAUGUCAGCAUCUAUGUUGUAGGAAAGGAUGCGUAUGAUGAACUUGCAUUGUCUGAAGCAAUCUUU
RNAcentral lists this unclassified non-coding RNA (380 nucleotides) under Hevea brasiliensis (rubber tree). The record is from RNAcentral. Lineage: Eukaryota; Viridiplantae; Streptophyta; Magnoliopsida; Malpighiales; Euphorbiaceae.